RNAcentral lists this ribosomal RNA (536 nucleotides) under Limosilactobacillus fermentum. RNAcentral's name for it is "bacterial SSU rRNA". It matches the Rfam family "Bacterial small subunit ribosomal RNA", at positions 61 to 573 of the family's 1533-position model. The record is from RNAcentral. Lineage: Bacteria; Bacillati; Bacillota; Bacilli; Lactobacillales; Lactobacillaceae.
UGAUUGAUGGUGCUUGCACCUGAUUGAUUUUGGUCGCCAACGAGUGGCGGACGGGUGAGUAACACGUAGGUAACCUGCCCAGAAGCGGGGGACAACAUUUGGAAACAGAUGCUAAUACCGCAUAACAACGUUGUUCGCAUGAACAACGCUUAAAAGAUGGCUUCUCGCUAUCACUUCUGGAUGGACCUGCGGUGCAUUAGCUUGUUGGUGGGGUAACGGCCUACCAAGGCGAUGAUGCAUAGCCGAGUUGAGAGACUGAUCGGCCACAAUGGGACUGAGACACGGCCCAUACUCCUACGGGAGGCAGCAGUAGGGAAUCUUCCACAAUGGGCGCAAGCCUGAUGGAGCAACACCGCGUGAGUGAAGAAGGGUUUCGGCUCGUAAAGCUCUGUUGUUAAAGAAGAACACGUAUGAGAGUAACUGUUCAUACGUUGACGGUAUUUAACCAGAAAGUCACGGCUAACUACGUGCCAGCAGCCGCGGUAAUACGUAGGUGGCAAGCGUUAUCCGGAUUUAUUGGGCGUAAAGAGAGUGCA